Lutra lutra (Eurasian river otter) is the source of this 1736-nucleotide long non-coding RNA. RefSeq lists it as uncharacterized. Lineage: Eukaryota; Metazoa; Chordata; Mammalia; Carnivora; Mustelidae. The transcript is spliced from 3 exons. The record is from RefSeq and is a predicted model, not a curated record.
ACCCUGAUGCACCAUUUCCCCGGUCCACCUAGCUUCUCUGUCACCUAGCUGAUGAUUGUCACAGAGCUCACUCCUGAACACAACAGCCAUAGAAAACCAAAAUGCUACCUCUUAGCCUCCUCAACCGGAGCAGGGAAUUGUGGCGCCUCUGGGAGAAGAGGAUGUCGGCGGGAGGACCUCACCGCUGUGGGGAGAGCGGCUUCUGCAGGGAGGAGCUGGAAUAUAGCCUGGAAAGUGACGUGGGAAAAUACGGGAAUUGGAGCACGAGUGUUCAGAGUCACAUCACAAAUUUACCUGAAGCCAAUCAAUUAAUCUGUUACUCAGUUUCCCGAGUUGUACUAUGUGCUAUUGGAAAUUGUGUAAGGAACAAAUAGAAAAUAAAUGUUAUAAAGAACUAUGGCCUCAGCAGUCAUCCAAAGUUGAUUAUGACCUUUGUAAACAUGUUUCGUUUCUCCAUUUCUGCAGAGUCUCCACUGAUAUAGGAAUUUAGAGCAUAAAACGUGGUCUGCUGUUCAAUUUGGACCAGCGGGUCUGUGUCUGUAUCUGGGAUCACCUGUAUGAAAGUGUGGAAGAGUCGGCUCAAUGAAUUUCAGGAGAAAAAGAAAUUUCUUCUGGGUGGCAAGAUAAUUCCACCACCUGCCCUUGAUGCCUUCUAUGUAUUAACAUGAGAGCGAGCAUCCUUCCUGGUUUUUGGUUUUCUUUCCAUAAUGAAAGGUACAGCUAACACUGGAAAUAUUUCCGGGGCAAAGUAACACAGUAUCCUAAGUUCUCAAAAGGAUGCAGGAGUCUUAGAUCUUCUGAGGAGAGCAGGCCGUAGGAGGACAACACUGAAGAUGUUUGGGGAAAGAGUGGGGAUACCUGUGGGAAAGGAAGGACUCAUGAGGAGAGGAAGCAGAGCAUGAAGGUCAGGGGACUCACGGUGUCACUUUAUCAAGCGUGAUAUCAAGGUAGCGUGAGCUACCUGCUGGGUGUCCACCACCGCGAUCUUAGAUUUCGCUGCGAGUCAUGGGGCUAAUGCCCCUCCCUCCCUACGUCCUGCUGCUCUCUUAGGCUGUGUCCCAAGGGCUGCCCGCCGCACUUUGAGCAGGAGGAAGCCAUUAUAUUAAACCCCUCGGUUCUGCUCAUGCAUCCCUUAGACUGGUUCUGAAUUAUCUUUGAGGUAUCAGGUCCUAGCUGGGCUUGGUGCUAGGGACCCUGAGACAAACUAGACCGACACGAUUCCUGAUCUCUCGGAGCCUCCUGUCUGGUGGCAGAAACAGCUGUUAGUAUUCUCGACUGACACUUCAUGUGUUGUUCCAAGCCCUUUGUCGCAUGGACUCAUUUUGUCUUCACAGUGGCCUUGCAGAACGUGUCACAGAUGAGGAAACUGGACCACAGAGCAUUUGUGCAACUGACUCCGAUAUCUUUCGCCAUUUGUCUUCUUGUGCCUUCUUGUUGCGAGCAGCGUCAACUGCCUUGAGGCUACUGGCCGUGUUCAGACGAACGCUCUGUGCUCCCACCUCACGCUUGGGUGCCAGAGCCAACUGUGGGGAGAGGAACGGAGCUGCCCCCCCACCUGAGACAAAAUAAGUCUUACCCCUGCACCCAGGGAUGGAGACGUUUGCAGCCACGUGGCUUCAGCGGGCUAGAGAAGCGCAUUAGGAUUCUGUCAAAAAAGAAGGAAGCGAUGAUGAGUAGGAAGUGGAGAACGCCCAGUGCAGUCUCUGACUAACUUCGUGUGUGUGUGUGUGUGUGUG